ACAGCUCAAAUUUGAAAGCUAGCUCUUUUAGGGUUCGCAUUGUAAUUUGUAGAAGAUGCUUCGAGUGUGGCCCCGGUCUAAGUUCCUUGGAACAGGACGUCAUAGAGGGUGAGAAUCCCGUAUGUGACUGGCUGCCUCCGUUCAUGUGAAGCUCUUUCGACGAGUCGAGUUGUUUGGGAAUGCAGCUCAAAAUGGGUGGUAAAUUUCAUCUAAAGCUAAAUAUUGGCCAGAGACCGAUA
Molecule: ribosomal RNA, 239 nt
Filed under: Ploettnerulaceae sp.
Lineage: Eukaryota; Fungi; Ascomycota; Leotiomycetes; Helotiales; Ploettnerulaceae
Description: partial large subunit ribosomal RNA
Rfam family: Eukaryotic large subunit ribosomal RNA
Source: RNAcentral